AGGAUUCAGCUGGUGAGUAUGGCUUGAGUUUGGACAAAUUGGUUAAAUGCCGGAGUCUGUGUAGAGACAGGUUCGUGCCUUCGGGUACGGAUGUGCGAUGCACUUAACAGGUGCUGCGCGCUUUGGCAAUGUUGGACCAACUCGCCAGUGCACUUUCUCGGAGUGUUCACCACGACCGGCACUGCUGUUUGGGUGUCGCGGUUAAACCGUUCUUGUAUCGCCUUCGUGGCUUUGCUUGAUCGGGAUGGCAGGUAGCUCGUUGGUUUUCCGCGGUUCGCCGUGGUUGCUUUCGGGUGUAAUAGCUUUCCGCGAUGGUACUAUGCAGUGUGUCGGAGACGGCGGCUUAUGGUGUGUGCGUGCGUGCCUGUUCGGUCGGCAGUUCCGGGUUCGGUUAUUAUGUUGCCUGUAAAAGCAGGCCUGGUGAUAGCCCGGUUCUGUUGGGUCGGCGGUUGCGUGUGUUUCACUUCCCAGGGCCAACAGUCUGUGGUGUAGUGGUAGACUAUCCACCUGACCCGUCUUGAAACACGGACCAAGGAGAGUAACAUGUGCGCGAGUCAUUGGGCGUAACGAAACCCAAAGGCGCAGUGAAAGUAAAUGUCUGGCUUGUCUAGACUGAGGUGAGAUCCUGUCGUUUUCCACGCGUGGUACUACCAAGCAUCGAGCGGCAGGCGCAUCACCGGCCCGUCCCAUGGGGUAGUCACAUAGUCAAUGACCAGUGCGGCACCGGGGCGGAGCAUGAGCGCACAUGUUGAGACCCGAAAGAUGGUGAACUAUGCUUGCGCAGGUUGAAGCCAGAGGAAACUCUGGUGGAGGACCGCAGCGAUUCUGACGUGCAAAUCGAUCGUCAAACGUGAG
RNAcentral lists this ribosomal RNA (855 nucleotides) under Homalometron mesoamericanum. RNAcentral's name for it is "eukaryotic LSU rRNA". It matches the Rfam family "Eukaryotic large subunit ribosomal RNA", at positions 414 to 915 of the family's 3401-position model. The record is from RNAcentral. Lineage: Eukaryota; Metazoa; Platyhelminthes; Trematoda; Plagiorchiida; Apocreadiidae.